GCGGGGGGGGGGGGGGGAACGCGUCUGAGGCGCGGGUGUCGCGCGGGUCUGUGCUGUCGGGUGAAGUGGCUCUGCCAGGCUCUCCGGACCGCACGGUCAGGCAGUGAGCGUGACCGGGGCACGGGGUGUUCCGUGCGAGGCGCCGCGGGACUGCGAAGAGACAGGCGGCGGUCGGGAAACUUUUUGCAGUACAGCUCCUUCUGGGUGAUACGUGACUUAUCAGAGCUAUCCGUUUGGUUAGUGCCGGAACCCAGGUCUCACUUCAGCCUGACGUCCCAUUCCACAAGCCCUUUCAACAACUGUUGAACAGCUGCCUAUGUUGGGGACUCCACAGAUGUUUGGUGCCGAGCCAAGUGGCCACUCGUGUCUGCCGUCUGUCCCAGAGAGCAUCCAAGCGGGAGAGAGGAGCAGAGAGAGAGAGAGAGAGAGAGAGAGAGAGAGAG
Long non-coding RNA from Felis catus (domestic cat), 443 nucleotides. RefSeq lists it as uncharacterized. The transcript is spliced from 3 exons. Lineage: Eukaryota; Metazoa; Chordata; Mammalia; Carnivora; Felidae. The record is from RefSeq and is a predicted model, not a curated record.